This 892-nucleotide ribosomal RNA is filed under the name Thermoanaerobacterium thermosaccharolyticum. RNAcentral describes it as "bacterial SSU rRNA". It matches the Rfam family "Bacterial small subunit ribosomal RNA", at positions 1 to 830 of the family's 1533-position model. Lineage: Bacteria; Bacillati; Bacillota; Clostridia; Thermoanaerobacterales; Thermoanaerobacteraceae. The record is from RNAcentral.
AAACAUGAGAGUUUGAUCCUGGCUCAGGACGAACGCUGGCGGCGUGCCUAACACAUGCAAGUCGAGCGAUCCGGCACUCAACUAAGCGCUUACAGGAAGAAAAGACGGGAAAGAGAAAAAAGGCAGGAAGAGAAAAAAAUAUGAGUAAACGCGGAGUUGAGUGUCGGAUAGCGGCGGACGGGUGAGUAACGCGUGGACAAUCUACCCUGUAGACUGGGAUAACACCUCGAAAGGGGUGCUAAUACCGGAUAAUGUCGAGAAGCGGCAUCGCUUUUCGAAGAAAGGAGGGAAUCCGCUAUAGGAGGAGUCCGCGUCCCAUUAGCUAGUUGGUGAGGGUAACGGCCCACCAAGGCGACGAUGGGUAGCCGGCCUGAGAGGGUGAACGGCCACACUGGAACUGAGACACGGUCCAGACUCCUACGGGAGGCAGCAGUGGGGAAUAUUGUGCAAUGGGGGAAACCCUGACACAGCGACGCCGCGUGAGUGAAGAAGGCCUUCGGGUCGUAAAGCUCAAUAGUAUGGGAAGAAAGAAAUGACGGUACCAUACGAAAGCCCCGGCUAACUACGUGCCAGCAGCCGCGGUAAUACGUAGGGGGCGAGCGUUGUCCGGAAUUACUGGGCGUAAAGAGCACGUAGGCGGCUAUAAAAGUCAGAUGUGAAAAACCUGGGCUCAACCGAGGGUAUGCAUCUGAAACUAAAUAGCUUGAGUCAAGGAGAGGAGAGCGGAAUUCCUGGUGUAGCGGUGAAAUGCGUAGAGAUCAGGAAGAAUACCAGUGGCGAAAGCGGCUCUCUGGACUUGAACUGACGCUGAGGUGCGAAAGCGUGGGGAGCAAACAGGAUUAGAUACCCUGGUAGUCCACGCCGUAAACGAUGGAUACUAGGUGUGGGUUAG